GUGGGGAAUCUUGCGCAAUGGGCGAAAGCCUGACGCAGCCAUGCCGCGUGAAUGAUGAAGGUCUUAGGAUUGUAAAAUUCUUUCACCGGGGACGAUAAUGACGGUACCCGGAGAAGAAGCUCCGGCUAACUUCGUGCCAGCAGCCGCGGUAAUACGAAGGGGGCUAGCGUUGCUCGGAAUUACUGGGCGUAAAGGGCGCGUAGGCGGACAGCUUAGUCAGAGGUGAAAGCCCAGGGCUCAACCUUGGAAUUGCCUUUGAUACUGGCUGUCUUGAGUUUGGGAGAGGUGAGUGGAACUCCGAGUGUAGAGGUGAAAUUCGUAGAUAUUCGGAAGAACACCAGUGGCGAAGGCGACUCACUGGCCCGUUACUGACGCUGAGGCGCGAAAGCGUGGGGAGCAAACAGGAUUAGAAACCCUUGUAGUCC
This 425-nucleotide ribosomal RNA is filed under the name uncultured bacterium. RNAcentral's name for it is "partial 16S ribosomal RNA". It matches the Rfam family "Bacterial small subunit ribosomal RNA", at positions 354 to 796 of the family's 1533-position model. The record is from RNAcentral.